GGGGAUGUAGCUCUUUGGUAGACCAUAUGCUUUGUAUACAUGAGGUCCAAGCUUCGAUCCCUGGCAUCUCCG
RNAcentral lists this transfer RNA (72 nucleotides) under Loxodonta africana (African savanna elephant). It matches the Rfam family "tRNA". From Rfam's summary of the family: Transfer RNA (tRNA) molecules are approximately 80 nucleotides in length. Their secondary structure includes four short double-helical elements and three loops (D, anti-codon, and T loops). Further hydrogen bonds mediate the characteristic L-shaped molecular structure. tRNAs have two regions of fundamental functional importance: the anti-codon, which is responsible for specific mRNA codon recognition, and the 3' end, to which the tRNAs corresponding amino acid is attached (by aminoacyl-tRNA synthetases). tRNAs cope with the degeneracy of the genetic code in two manners: having more than one tRNA (with a specific anti-codon) for a particular amino acid; and 'wobble' base-pairing, i.e. permitting non-standard base-pairing at the 3rd anti-codon position. The record is from Rfam by way of RNAcentral. Lineage: Eukaryota; Metazoa; Chordata; Mammalia; Proboscidea; Elephantidae.